GAUGAAGAACGUAGCGAAAUGCGAUAAGUAAUGUGAAUUGCAGAAUUCAGUGAAUCAUCGAAUCUUUGAACGCACCUUGCGCCCUUUGGCCAUUCCGAAGGGCAUGCCUGUUUGAGUAUCAUGAACACCUCAACUCUUUAUGGUUUUCCAUGAUGAGCUUGGACUUUGGGGGUUUUGCUGGCCUAUGGUCGGCUCCUCUAAAAUAAAUCAGCUUACCGGUGUUUGGUGGGUAUCAUGGGUGUGAUAACUAUCUACGCUUGUGGUUUUUCCACCAGGUAACCUUCGACAGCGGAGGUUCACUGGAGCUCAUAGAUGUCUCUCCUCAGCGAGGACAGCCCUUUGAAUGUUUGAUCUCAAAUCAGGUAGGACUACCCGCUGAACUUAAGCAUAUCAAAAGCGGAGGA
Molecule: unclassified non-coding RNA, 404 nt
Filed under: soil metagenome
Description: partial contains 5.8S ribosomal RNA, internal transcribed spacer 2, and large subunit ribosomal RNA
Rfam family: 5.8S ribosomal RNA (bases 1-121)
Source: RNAcentral